AGGCUACAACUCGCCUACAUGAAGUCGGAGUUGCUAGUAAUCGCGGAUCAGAAUGCCGCGGUGAAUGCGUUCCCGGGUCUUGUACACACCGCCCGUCACACCAUGGAAGUUGGGGCGCCCGAAGUUGCCUAAGAAAUAAGGUACCUAAGGCGAAACCAAUGACUGGGGUGAAGUCGUAACAAGGUAGC
This 188-nucleotide ribosomal RNA is filed under the name uncultured bacterium. RNAcentral's name for it is "partial 16S ribosomal RNA". It matches the Rfam family "Bacterial small subunit ribosomal RNA", at positions 1302 to 1500 of the family's 1533-position model. The record is from RNAcentral.